GACGUAGGGGGCGAGCGUUGUCCGGAAUUAUUGGGCGUAAAGAGCUCGUAGGCGGUCUGUCGCGUCGGAUGUGAAAAUCCAGGGCUCAACCCUGGACCUGCAUUCGAUACGGGCAGACUAGAGUUCGGUAGAGGAGACUGGAAUUCCUGGUGUAGCGGUGAAAUGCGCAGAUAUCAGGAGGAACACCGGUGGCGAAGGCGGGUCUCUGGGCCGAAACUGACGCUGAGGAGCGAAAGCGUGGGGAGCAAACAGG
This 253-nucleotide ribosomal RNA is filed under the name uncultured bacterium. RNAcentral describes it as "partial 16S ribosomal RNA". It matches the Rfam family "Bacterial small subunit ribosomal RNA", at positions 524 to 776 of the family's 1533-position model. The record is from RNAcentral.